Pecten maximus is the source of this 2093-nucleotide long non-coding RNA. RefSeq lists it as uncharacterized. NCBI's taxonomy places the organism in Eukaryota, Metazoa, Mollusca, Bivalvia, Pectinida, Pectinidae. The record is from RefSeq and is a predicted model, not a curated record. The transcript is spliced from 2 exons.
CGUAUAAAAAUAGCCAUAUUUUGUUAACCACCCAAAGAAUCUUCUCUUUUUUUAAUAAUUAUGAAUGAUAUUGCUCAUACUGAUGAUAUAAAUAAGAUAUAAACUUCUUUUUAUGCUUGAGGUGAAUAUUAUCGGGGAAAGAUAAAAUCUAUCAAAGUCCUUAAAAAUAUGGUUCAGCUAUUAAUUAAUACGUAUCUUUAUGUGGCCCUGGUAGUAAAACGAACGUGGUGAGAUAUGUUUUUUAUGUGCUUUUUGUGAUAAGAGCAUAAUUAACAUUGAAAUGAAAAUAAAAUUAAGGAGAUCUAUCAGAGGAAACCCGAAGGGUCGGUCUACCUUAAGUGGAAUUCAGAAAGAAUUGAUCUAUAUAAAAGCAAUUGCUAUUGUACAAAUGUACAUCACUAAACACAAGGGUAGUUUAUAUUAUAUGUUCUUUUGAAAAAUAAUGUCAAAGGUAGAUUUUUUCUUGUAUCAUAUCAUCUAUGUACUCUCUUAAAAUCCUGUGUGAAGGUAGACAAACUUGUUUUAUCUGAAUUUGUCAAUUGCUCAGUGGGCACAAUGCCGGGUUGUACGGGCAGUCCACUGCAUUUUGUUUUGUUUCCAAAUGAACUGCUUGAAUUAAUGGACAGCCAUGGAUGCAGAGGUGUGUUUAUUAAUGAAAAUGUUCACAACAUUACAUCCUUGUAUGCUGAUGAUAUCGCAAGUUUAGCAGAUACAGUGCGAUAGUUACAGAAACAAAUUGAUUGUGUAUCUACUUUUUGUGACGAAUAUGGUAUGAAAGUAAACCUGGAUAAGACCACGAUUGUUGUAUUUAGAAGAGGUGAAAUUGUAAAAGGUAAUGAAAAAUGGUUUUACAAAGGAGAACAGAUUGAAAUUGUGAACUUACUCCAAAAAUGUCAUGGGGUCUGUGUUGUAAAACUCUUGCACAGCAAGCUGAAAAAGCUUCAUUUGUUAUUCAGAAGUUUAUACAGCAUUUUACCUUUUUGAUCAUAUGAUAACUCCUAUACUUUGUUAAUGUCCAGACCAUAGGCCGGUGGUUUUUCUCCGGGUAUCCCGGCUAUCCUUCACCUCCAAAACCUGACACGUCCUUAAAUAACCCUGGCUGCUAAUAGGACGUUAAAAAAAAAAAAAAAACGAAACCAAACCAAAGUACUGAAGUAUGGGGUUUUGCCCGGAGUGAUGCAAUAUAAUCUGUACAUUUGAAGUUUUGUAGACGAGUUUUAGGCGUCAAUUCAAGUACCAGCAGAAAUGUUUUGUACGGUGAGCUUGGGAGAUACCCCCUACAUGGUAUAUAUACAUUGAGACUAGUAAGAUACUGGCUGAAAGUAAUGUCUAUGCCAGCUAUAAGGUAUCCAAAAGCCUGCUAUGAAAUGUUGUAUAGAUUAGAUCUUGCAGGUAGAAUAACUUGGGCCACUUAUGUGAGACAAAUACUAUAGUAUAAUAAAGUCUGGGCUUUAAUGAAGCUUGGCUAAAUCAGGGUGUUGGAGACAUUUCUGUUUUUCUCCAAACUGUUUAAACGAGGUUGGUAGAUACCUUUUUGCAAUCAUAGUAUGAUAUAUUGAACAACAAUGGUCAAAUUAUGUACAUAUAGGCAGUUAAAAAGUAUGUUUUGUCAAGAAGAUUAUCUUAUUCAAAACAUGAACAGGUAUAUACGUACUGUAUUAGCGCGUUUCAGAAGUGGUAAUCAUCAUCUUGCGGUUGAAACAGGUAGAUGGAAUGGUACUCCCAGAUAUGACAGACUUUGUAUAUACUGUCUCAAUGUUUGCAGGAGAUUGGUACUUGAAGAUGAUAUACAUUUUGUGUGCUUUUGUUCUUGGUAUGAUGAGCUCAGAAAUGAGUUGUUUUUUAAAUUACCUGUAAGUAUGAGUCACUUGGAUGUACUUGAGAAGUUUGCUAUCUUAGUGAGUGAUGUACGGUGUUGUAGAUCUUUUUGUACUUUUUUGAUACGAGCAUUUAAAGCUCGUGAAGACUAUGUCCCAAAUCCAAUACAUUUAUUAUAUACAAUUGUGUUGUAUGCAUUUAUGAUAUUUAUGCUACUUACUCUCUAAUUAUAUUACGAGAGAUCCAUCUAAUCUCAUUAAAUAUAUCUAAAGGCA